This is a non-coding RNA of Zootoca vivipara (common lizard), 578 nucleotides long. The record is from RefSeq and is a predicted model, not a curated record. Lineage: Eukaryota; Metazoa; Chordata; Lepidosauria; Squamata; Lacertidae.
AGUGUCUCCACCCCUAUGGUUCAGCUCGGAUACUGAAGUCCAGCUUCAAGGACCUUCUGGCAGUUCCCUCACUGUGAGAAGUCAAACUACAGGGAACCAAGCAGAGGGCCUUCUUGAUAGUGGUGCCCACCCCGUGAAACUCCCUCCCAUCAGACGUCAAGGAAAUAAACAACUGACUUAUAGAAGACAUCUGAAGGCAGCCCUGUUUCGGGAAGUUUUUAAAGUUUGAUGUUUUAUUCUGUUUUUAGUUUUCCGUUGGGAGCCACCCAGAGUGGCUGAGGAGAAAUAAUAAAAUUGUUGUUGUUGUUGUUGUUGUUAUGAAAUGGAGAAUUCCAGAACUGCUUUCAGUGUAAGAAUGAUAGAAGGAAGACAGACGUGAAAGCAGUUUGCAAGUUUAUGGCCCCCAUUCAUGAUAUUAAAAGUAAUAACCAGCUAGAAAUGUUUGAUGCAUUUCCGUUGUUAAAGUGAUAAGCUUCAAAAUACCAUGGAUAAAUGAUUAAGCACACUUUCAUUGGGAGUGGCAAGUAUAGGAAAUACAAUAUUAUACUAUAUUAAAAGAUAGAAUUAUUUUGUGGGGG